CCUACGGGAGGCAGCAGUGGGGAAUAUUGCACAAUGGGGGAAACCCUGAUGCAGCGAAGCCGCGUGAGUGAAGAAGUAAUUAGGUAUGUAAAGCUCUAUCAGCAGGGAAGAAAAUGACGGUACCUGAGUAAGAAGCCCCGGCUCACUACAUGCCAGCAGCCGCGGUAAUACGUAGGGGGCAAGCGUUAUCCGGAUUUACUGGGUGUAAAGGGAGCGUAGACGGCAGUGCAAGUCUGGAGUGAAAGGCGGUGGCUCAACCCACGGACUGCUCUGGAAACUGUACGGCUGGAGUGCAGGAGGGGUAAGUGGAAUUCCUGGUGUAGCGGUGAAAUGCGUAGAUAUUAGGAGGAACACCAGUGGCGAAGGCAGCAUACGGCAGCGCUACUGACGCUGAAGCUCGAAGGCGCGGGUAUCGAACAGGAUUAGAUACCCCAGUAGUC
RNAcentral lists this ribosomal RNA (440 nucleotides) under uncultured bacterium. RNAcentral describes it as "partial 16S ribosomal RNA". It matches the Rfam family "Bacterial small subunit ribosomal RNA", at positions 338 to 795 of the family's 1533-position model. The record is from RNAcentral.